ACGCUGGCGGCGUGCCUAACACAUGCAAGUCGAACGGAGUUUAAACGCAGAAAUGAGAGCAGCUUGCUGAAGGAUUUCUGUUAACUAGUGGCGGACGGGUGAGUAACGCGUGAGUAACCUGCCCUUGAGAGGGGAAUAACGUUCUGAAAAGGACGCUAAUACCGCAUAACAUAGGAUUGUCGCAUGGCAGACCUAUCAAAGAUUUAUCGCUCAAGGAUGGACUCGCGUCCGAUUAGCCGGUUGCGGGGUAACGGCCCACCAAAGCAACGAUCGGUAGCCGGACUGAGAGGUUUGAACGGCCACAUUGGGACUGAGACACGGCCCAGACUCCUACGGGAGGCAGCAGUGGGGGAUAUUGCGCAAUGGGGGAAACCCUGACGCAGCAACGCCGCGUGAAGGAUGAAGGUCUUCGGAUUGUAAACUUCUUUUAUUAAGGACGAAGAAUGACGGUACUUAAUGAAUAAGCUCCGGCUAACUACGUG
RNAcentral lists this ribosomal RNA (482 nucleotides) under uncultured bacterium. RNAcentral describes it as "bacterial SSU rRNA". It matches the Rfam family "Bacterial small subunit ribosomal RNA", at positions 33 to 507 of the family's 1533-position model. The record is from RNAcentral.